RNAcentral lists this ribosomal RNA (401 nucleotides) under Sphaerospira mattea. RNAcentral's name for it is "partial 16S ribosomal RNA". It matches the Rfam family "Archaeal large subunit ribosomal RNA", at positions 1900 to 2656 of the family's 2987-position model. Lineage: Eukaryota; Metazoa; Mollusca; Gastropoda; Stylommatophora; Camaenidae. The record is from RNAcentral.
CAAAAACAUAGCUGUGCGUUAUUACUCACAGUAUUUUCUGCUCAAUGAGGUAUUAAAUAGCCGCAGUACCCUGACUGUGCAAAGGUAGCGUAAUCAGUUGUCUUGUAAUUUAAGUCUCGAAUGAAUGAAUAUAUGGGGGCCCACUUUACCAAUAGUAGAAAAGGAAAUUGUUAAAUGAGUGCAAAUGCUCAUAGCAUUUAAAAGACGAGAAGACCCUAGAAAUUUUGAACAUUUUUUGUUGGGGCAACAUAGUACCAAAUAAUUUACUGUAUGUAUAUGUAAUAGAUUAGGAAGCUUAAAUUACUCUAGGGAUAACAGCAUAAUUUAAAAGCGUUUGUGACCUCGAUGUUGGAUUAGGAAGUUAUAACUUAAAAGGUGAAUAAUCUCGCUCUGUUCGAGCG